GGAGCUAUGGCCCAAUGGAUAAGGCGUCUGACUACGAAUCAGGAGAUUCCAGGUUCGACCCCUGGUAGCUUCG
Non-coding RNA from Cokeromyces recurvatus, 73 nucleotides. The record is from the annotation of a RefSeq genome assembly. NCBI's taxonomy places the organism in Eukaryota, Fungi, Mucoromycota, Mucoromycetes, Mucorales, Mucoraceae.